GUGAAGUGUUUGGGUGAACUC
This 21-nucleotide microRNA is filed under the name Zea mays. Its description in RNAcentral is "zma-miR395o-3p". Its record names the gene zma-miR395o-3p. The record is from miRBase by way of RNAcentral. Lineage: Eukaryota; Viridiplantae; Streptophyta; Magnoliopsida; Poales; Poaceae.